GUGGGUAGAAGCGAAAAAUACAAAUACAAAGACGCAAAGGUUCGCAUCUUCUUCUUCUCCACUCGGCUUCUCCUCCUUCUACUUGGCGCUUCUACUCAUACGAGCACCAGACCCAAAAAAAUCGAAUUUUGGGUUUUUUUUGGAUGCAGAUGUAAGUGUAGAGUGGCCGGAAGAUAAAAGUAAAAUGCAACAGAAUUUGAUUUGGGGAUGGUUUUUCAUCGCAUCCGGCUCUGUUUUCUUUCUGGGUUUUCUCUAUGCUACCGUCUUAUCCAAGCUUCUUCCACCUUCAGAUAAUACUAUCCUCUCCGCCAUACAAAAUGACCGUUAUUAUUGCUUUUUGGUGCCCUUGACUCUCCCAGUCCUUGUGGUUGCUGUAUACUUUCAUUGGCUCAGCAUGAAACUGUUCAAACAUGCGUGAUUUUUCUAAGCCCAUCAGGUUAACCUAAGCAUUCCUCAGUUAACAGAAAGCCGUUUCAUCAACACUCAGACCUGAAGGCUGGAACCCCUACAACCAUACCAGUGGUACAUAAUCACAUUCCUCAGUAUUUUGGCCAAACACACUGACUGCUGGUAUUCUGUCUUCUUGAGCAUAACCCACUAUUUGUCAAACCAAAUGUGGUCCCUAGAUUUUCAUUUAAGAAUUUCUUGAAAAGUCAUUUUAAUAAUUCUUUGCUUUCUUGUUCAUAAGUUUAAUUAUUUUUUUUCCCCCGGAAAUGUUUCCAUUCAAGAUCAUGAAUUCUUAGUGGCAAAUGCUGUAAACAUAGGAAUCGCAGUGAGUCUUUUC
Prunus avium (sweet cherry) is the source of this 784-nucleotide non-coding RNA. NCBI's taxonomy places the organism in Eukaryota, Viridiplantae, Streptophyta, Magnoliopsida, Rosales, Rosaceae. The record is from RefSeq and is a predicted model, not a curated record.